AUGUUGAUGUUGGUGUUUGGAUUCAACCAUAUUGAUACUAGCAUCAGUGGUGGCAUGGCUGUACGAGCCCCACCGAGUAGUUUUCUAGGCUGCAAGCUCUUGACGAGACCUGUGGAGAGCUAUCGACGAGCUUGCAACACCCCUAGGUGCAACAAUGCCCAGCCCUACAACAAAUGCAGUGCCACAACAAUGACCACCGCACUCUGUGUAUGUGGUUCAGUGUCGAUGCUUGUACCCCUGCUGACGCUUCAAAUUCCAAUACUAAUGCCACAGUUAUGCCCAGUGUCUCUUUUGUGCCAUGCAUCUGGAGCCUUUGCGGAGAAAUGGAGGAUGGUCAAGAUGGUGCUGCCGACCUUACUUGGGCAUUCGUUUUUCUUACGAGGAAUCAGCCAUCCUGUACCUCGCUAUAUGUGCGUCUCAGCAGUUGCAGCACAUUAUCCUCUGCUCAACAUGUUCGUGUAUCCAAUGAUCAAUUGCUGCUUUAGGUUCUUUAUGAUGGGUAUUGCUGCUACAUUUGCUGGAGCAUUUGGACUGGGAAACAAAGUUUGCGUAAGGGGGAGAAAGUUCUUCGUUUCAGGAUGGCGUUUGUCAGCUGAUGCAGAUGCUGCUACUGCUGCUGAUCGUGGGACGAGAAGGAAUAUUUAUGGCCAUAUGCUUGUUGGUAGACAUGCCAGGUCCAAUGGCUGUCCUCUUUUUCUCAUCGGUCAUGUUCUCUUUCUUACAUUACAAUUUACAAUCAUUGUCCUUUCCUCCCUCGGUCUGAUGUGUACAUGCUUGAUGAUCAAGAACCGUUCAGGUUCCCUGCUCCGGGCACAUGCACUUUGGAACGCAAGAGCAGGUAGCUCUUCGUCCAUGGAAGCUUGCACAACUCGUGAUGAAAUGCGGUUGGCAAGCAAGCUUGGAUUUCAAAGAAUCGUCAUAGAGAGUGAUGCCCAGGAGGUGGUCAAACUGUGUAACACAUACUGCUUUGAUCGUGCGAAGAUUGUUGCUAUCUCUCAAGAUACAAGGGAGCUUAUUAGAGGCUUAGGCGGAGGUGUGUUGGUGCAUGUGGUUCGUGAAGCAAAUGAGGUGUAUCAUGGAUGUGCUAAAUAG
RNAcentral lists this ribosomal RNA (1092 nucleotides) under Triticum aestivum (bread wheat). RNAcentral's name for it is "partial small subunit ribosomal RNA". Lineage: Eukaryota; Viridiplantae; Streptophyta; Magnoliopsida; Poales; Poaceae. The record is from RNAcentral.